GUCCGGCCGACCCGAGCCCGCAGUCCACAGUCCGCCAGCCUCGCCCGUCCUCUCCUCUGCAAGCUAGAGCACCAGCACUCGGAGCUCAAGAUGCAGAGGUGCACCCGAAGCCUCCUCUUUGCCUCCCUCAUCCUCUGUGCCUCCCUGUCAGAGACCCUGGGACUCGUGUUAUCUGCCAAGGAAAAGAGAGGCUGGACCUUGAACAGUGCUGGUUAUCUCCUUGGCCCAC
Molecule: long non-coding RNA, 229 nt
Organism: Vombatus ursinus (common wombat)
Lineage: Eukaryota; Metazoa; Chordata; Mammalia; Diprotodontia; Vombatidae
Exons: 3
Source: RefSeq, a predicted model, not a curated record